GUUUGAUUGGUUUUGAGCUGAAGUCAGUGGUUCUACUUGGUGGUGUUGCAAAGGAGGUAGAGAUGAAAGGUUCUAAUGGAUUUGAGCAGGUGGUUGAACCUCUUCGACACCAUCGAGGUGUAAUCACUUUUGGAUUUUCAGGAAAGAUGAUACAGAGAACACUCUGUGCUAAUGGUCUAACCAUUCCUUGUUUGAAUGCUGAAACUCUCAAGGAUGCUGUGAGGUUGGCAAGGAGUAUAGCACAACGUGGCGAUGCCAUUGUACUGAGUCCUGGUUGUGCUAGCUUUGACGAGUUCAGAAAUUUCGAGCAAAGAGGAAGGAUCUUUCAAGAGCUUGCUAUCUCUUCAGAGUGACUGACCAUCUCUUCCAUGUUUUGUUGGUCACU
This 385-nucleotide unclassified non-coding RNA is filed under the name Hevea brasiliensis (rubber tree). The record is from RNAcentral. Lineage: Eukaryota; Viridiplantae; Streptophyta; Magnoliopsida; Malpighiales; Euphorbiaceae.